AUUGAACGCUGGCGGCAUGCCUUACACAUGCAAGUCGAACGGCAGCACGGGAGCAAUCCUGGUGGCGAGUGGCGAACGGGUGAGUAAUAUAUCGGAACGUGCCCAGUCGUGGGGAUAACGUAGCGAAAGCUACGCUAAUACCGCAUACGAUCUAUGGAUGAAAGCGGGGGAGUCGCAAGACCUCGCGCGAUUGGAGCGGCCGAUAUCAGAUUAGGUAGUUGGUGAGGUAAAGGCUCACCAAGCCGACGAUCUGUAGCUGGUCUGAGAGGACGACCAGCCACACUGGGACUGAGACACGGCCCAGACUCCUACGGGAGGCAGCAGUGGGGAAUUUUGGUACCAAUGGGCGGCAAGCCUGAUCCAGCAAUGCCGCGUGCAGGAUGAAGGCCUCGGUUGUAACUAGCUUU
RNAcentral lists this ribosomal RNA (407 nucleotides) under uncultured bacterium. RNAcentral's name for it is "bacterial SSU rRNA". It matches the Rfam family "Bacterial small subunit ribosomal RNA", at positions 30 to 436 of the family's 1533-position model. The record is from RNAcentral.